AUGCUGCAGUUUCCGCUGAGGUAAGCAAUUUUCUACGAAUUAUUAAAUGAACUAUCAGCUCAAGUAUGUAGUAAUGUAUGAAUUAAAUAUGAUAAAUUAUUAGGUGAAGGAGCAUACUGCAACUGGUGAAGCUAUGGACCAAGCUGCUGUUGAGAAUGAUGAUAUGCAGCAUAGUGCAGAUUCGGUGAAGGUAUGUAAUUAUUUGGUUCGUACUGUAUAUGUUUUUAGAAUGGUAGUAUAAAUCAUCAUGAAAUGCAUUUUUCUAUCAGGUUAUUUGGUCCACUGAUGCUGAGACUAAGAAGGAAUGUGGAGCUCCGACCAAAUA
This 325-nucleotide long non-coding RNA is filed under the name Phoenix dactylifera (date palm). Its description in RNAcentral is "long non-coding RNA (PDAC_LNC016015)". Lineage: Eukaryota; Viridiplantae; Streptophyta; Magnoliopsida; Arecales; Arecaceae. The record is from RNAcentral.